AGUCGAGAAUUUUUCUCAAUGGGCGAAAGCCUGAAGGAGCGACGCCGCGUGGGGGAUGAAUGGCUUCGGCCCGUAAACCCCUGUCAUUUGCGAACAAAUUAUUUUACUUAAUACGUGAAGUAUUGAUUGUAGCGGAAGAGGAAGGGACGGCUAACUCUGUGCCAGCAGCCGCGGUAAUACAGAGGUCCCAAGCGUUGUUCGGAUUUACUGGGCGUAAAGGGUGCGUAGGCGGUCGGGUAAGUUUGACGUGAAAUCUCCAAGCUCAACUUGGAAACUGCGUUGGAUACUAUCCGGCUCGAGGAAUGGAGGGGAGACUGGAAUACUUGGUGUAGCAGUGAAAUGCGUAGAUAUCAAGUGGAACACCAGUGGCGAAGGCGAGUCUCUGGACAUUUCCUGACGCUGAGGCACGAAAGCCAGGGGAGCAAA
RNAcentral lists this ribosomal RNA (426 nucleotides) under uncultured Verrucomicrobiota bacterium. RNAcentral describes it as "bacterial SSU rRNA". It matches the Rfam family "Bacterial small subunit ribosomal RNA", at positions 353 to 772 of the family's 1533-position model. Lineage: Bacteria; Pseudomonadati; Verrucomicrobiota. The record is from RNAcentral.